This 301-nucleotide ribosomal RNA is filed under the name uncultured bacterium. RNAcentral's name for it is "bacterial SSU rRNA". It matches the Rfam family "Bacterial small subunit ribosomal RNA", at positions 30 to 334 of the family's 1533-position model. The record is from RNAcentral.
AUUGAACGCUGGCGGCAGGCCUUACACAUGCAAGUCGAGCGAGAAAGCCCUUCGGGGUGAGUAGAGCGGCGGACGGGUGAGUAACGCGUAGGAAUCUACCUAGUAGUGGGGGACAACAUGUGGAAACGCAUGCUAAUACCGCAUACGCCCUAAGGGGGAAAGCAGGGGAUCUUCGGACCUUGCGCUAUUGGAUGAGCCUGCGUUGGAUUAGCUAGUUGGUGGGGUAAAGGCCUACCAAGGCGACGAUCCAUAGCUGGUCUGAGAGGAUGAUCAGCCACACUGGGACUGAGACACGGCCCAG